Molecule: ribosomal RNA, 1502 nt
Filed under: Limosilactobacillus fermentum
Lineage: Bacteria; Bacillati; Bacillota; Bacilli; Lactobacillales; Lactobacillaceae
Description: bacterial SSU rRNA
Rfam family: Bacterial small subunit ribosomal RNA
Source: RNAcentral
AUGAACGCCGGCGGUGUGCCUAAUACAUGCAAGUCGAACGCGUUGGCCCAAUUGAUUGAUGGUGCUUGCACCUGAUUGAUUUUGGUCGCCAACGAGUGGCGGACGGGUGAGUAACACGUAGGUAACCUGCCCAGAAGCGGGGGACAACAUUUGGAAACAGAUGCUAAUACCGCAUAACAGCGUUGUUCGCAUGAACAACGCUUAAAAGAUGGCUUCUCGCUAUCACUUCUGGAUGGACCUGCGGUGCAUUAGCUUGUUGGUGGGGUAACGGCCUACCAAGGCGAUGAUGCAUAGCCGAGUUGAGAGACUGAUCGGCCACAAUGGGACUGAGACACGGCCCAUACUCCUACGGGAGGCAGCAGUAGGGAAUCUUCCACAAUGGGCGCAAGCCUGAUGGAGCAACACCGCGUGAGUGAAGAAGGGUUUCGGCUCGUAAAGCUCUGUUGUUAAAGAAGAACACGUAUGAGAGUAACUGUUCAUACGUUGACGGUAUUUAACCAGAAAGUCACGGCUAACUACGUGCCAGCAGCCGCGGUAAUACGUAGGUGGCAAGCGUUAUCCGGAUUUAUUGGGCGUAAAGAGAGUGCAGGCGGUUUUCUAAGUCUGAUGUGAAAGCCUUCGGCUUAACCGGAGAAGUGCAUCGGAAACUGGAUAACUUGAGUGCAGAAGAGGGUAGUGGAACUCCAUGUGUAGCGGUGGAAUGCGUAGAUAUAUGGAAGAACACCAGUGGCGAAGGCGGCUACCUGGUCUGCAACUGACGCUGAGACUCGAAAGCAUGGGUAGCGAACAGGAUUAGAUACCCUGGUAGUCCAUGCCGUAAACGAUGAGUGCUAGGUGUUGGAGGGUUUCCGCCCUUCAGUGCCGGAGCUAACGCAUUAAGCACUCCGCCUGGGGAGUACGACCGCAAGGUUGAAACUCAAAGGAAUUGACGGGGGCCCGCACAAGCGGUGGAGCAUGUGGUUUAAUUCGAAGCUACGCGAAGAACCUUACCAGGUCUUGACAUCUUGCGCCAACCCUAGAGAUAGGGCGUUUCCUUCGGGAACGCAAUGACAGGUGGUGCAUGGUCGUCGUCAGCUCGUGUCGUGAGAUGUUGGGUUAAGUCCCGCAACGAGCGCAACCCUUGUUACUAGUUGCCAGCAUUAAGUUGGGCACUCUAGUGAGACUGCCGGUGACAAACCGGAGGAAGGUGGGGACGACGUCAGAUCAUCAUGCCCCUUAUGACCUGGGCUACACACGUGCUACAAUGGACGGUACAACGAGUCGCGAACUCGCGAGGGCAAGCAAAUCUCUUAAAACCGUUCUCAGUUCGGACUGCAGGCUGCAACUCGCCUGCACGAAGUCGGAAUCGCUAGUAAUCGCGGAUCAGCAUGCCGCGGUGAAUACGUUCCCGGGCCUUGUACACACCGCCCGUCACACCAUGAGAGUUUGUAACACCCAAAGUCGGUGGGGUAACCUUUUAGGAGCCAGCCGCCUAAGGUGGGACAGAUGAUUAGGGUGAAGUC